This 208-nucleotide ribosomal RNA is filed under the name uncultured bacterium. Its description in RNAcentral is "partial 16S ribosomal RNA". It matches the Rfam family "Bacterial small subunit ribosomal RNA", at positions 1292 to 1500 of the family's 1533-position model. The record is from RNAcentral.
UUCAGAUUGCAGGCUGCAACUCGCCUGCAUGAAGUUGGAAUUGCUAGUAAUCGCGAAUCAGAAUGUCGCGAUGAAUACGUUCCCGGGCCUUGUACACACCGCCCGUCACACCAUGGGAGCCGGUAAUACCCGAAGUCAGUAGUCCAACCUCGUGAGGACGCUGCCGAAGGUAGGAUUGGCGACUGGGGUGAAGUCGUAACAAGGUAUC